UACGAAGGGGGCAAGCGUUGUUCGGAAUUACUGGGCGUAAAGCGCACGUAGGCGGCUUUCUAAGUCAGGGGUGAAAUCCUGGAGCUCAACUCCAGAACUGCCUUUGAUACUGGAGAGCUUGAGUCCGGGAGAGGUGAGUGGAACUGCGAGUGUAGAGGUGAAAUUCGUAGAUAUUCGCAAGAACACCAGUGGCGAAGGCGGCUCACUGGCCCGGAACUGACGCUGAUGCACGAAAGCGUGGGGAG
RNAcentral lists this ribosomal RNA (245 nucleotides) under uncultured Beijerinckia sp. Its description in RNAcentral is "partial 16S ribosomal RNA". It matches the Rfam family "Bacterial small subunit ribosomal RNA", at positions 524 to 768 of the family's 1533-position model. The record is from RNAcentral. Lineage: Bacteria; Pseudomonadati; Pseudomonadota; Alphaproteobacteria; Hyphomicrobiales; Beijerinckiaceae.